This is a long non-coding RNA of Sciurus carolinensis (gray squirrel), 733 nucleotides long. RefSeq lists it as uncharacterized. The record is from RefSeq and is a predicted model, not a curated record. NCBI's taxonomy places the organism in Eukaryota, Metazoa, Chordata, Mammalia, Rodentia, Sciuridae. The transcript has 3 exons.
AAAUCAGCAGCGAGGGAAGAGAAACCGCCUCCUUUCUUUGACAAGCAUUUUUAAAAAGGAGAUUUAUGUUCCCGUGUUUAAUUGAUUGUUCCUCCUGAUCAUUACACCUUUAGUGUUGUUAAAAUCUAGACAAGGCGCCGCUGUGAUGGAUCACCCCCAGCCGUGGAAGGAAGUGAUUCACCCCAGUGCAGGGAGCUGAGGGUGUCCCUGAGCCGACUGCAAGCAGAUUUUGAGACAGAGUCUUGCUAAGUUUCUGAUGCUGGUCUUGAACUUUCGAUCCUCUGAUCCUCCUGCCUCAGCCUCCACAUCACCAGGAUCCCAGAAGUGUACCACUGUCCCCUUCCACUGCUGUAAAUAAAGUUUUAUUAGUAUAGUGCUUGCCUAGCAUUCACAAGGGUUUAAUCUCCAGUACCACAAAACGAACAAACAAAGUGUUUUGGAACACAGCUGUGCUCAUUCAGUUAUGUAUAAUUGGCUAUGGCUGCUUUCCUGUGGCUAGCUGAGUAACUGAGAUACAGACUAUAUGGUUCUUUAAACCUAAAAUGUGUAAUCUCUGAGGAUUUAUGGACCCUUUGAUCUAAAAUAUUUACUACAGUCCUUUACUCCCCGGGGACUGUUUACAUGUUAAGUAAACUCAAGGACAGAGAUCAGUUCCUAUUUAUGAUAACUUUUUUCCCUUAGAUCCUUGCACAUAUUAGGUGCUUUAUAAAAUAUGAAAUUAGCAUUCAGAGGA